CUGUCUGUCUGUCUAGCACCACAGCUCGGGCGCUGCUGCAGAGGGAAGAAAGAUUUGGGGAGAGGGGCUCAGAGACGGGCUGGGGGUGAGGUCUCCCUGGCUGAUUUUGGCCUGAAAAGGAUAGCUCCUUCGGCUUAGGGACUAGGGCUGGGACUGGGUGACAGGUGGGGAAACAGGCACAGAGAGGGCAGUGCCCAUUCCUGAUGUGGUCUGGAGUGGAGCCUGGGCAGGGUGGUACCACGUGGGUGCUUUAGUCUGUGGGCCACAGAGCCUCGAGACAGAGCACAGAGAGGGAUGGCACGGGGACCCAAGGACCGGGACUGGGAGUCCUUUUACCACCUCCUAGUGGGUGCUCUUAAGUCCAUCGUACGUGUUUCAUGUUCCCCGCGACCGGGGCCCUGCAGAGGCCCAGCCGCCGCUGGACUGCAGGAAGUAUUUAUGAGCACAUCUGUGUGCUGCAAUUGUGUGUCUCUAACGGGGGAGGGGGAGGAGGGGAUUUGGUGGUGAUUAUUUAAGGUAGAGGGCAGCAAGGGGAUGGGGGCAGAAGAAGUGCGGCUCCCGCACGGUUACUGUGCUGCUUGUAUAGGAGAGAGGCACGCCCGCCUCAGGGAUGAGAGCGGGUCGGGACCAGAGGCCUGUGGGUGAUUCUCGGUAUCCGCGGGAAGGGAGCAAAGGGAUCCGAGUGGUUUGCGGUCCUUCAUGGUUUUAUUACACAUCGUAGGAGAAUAAAGAAGUUGUAAUGAUGGCCUUGAGUAGAGCAAUUGUGAGACUGUGCUGGACAAAAGACGGUGAUUAAUCCAGGUCCGCUAACCCAACAUCCGCACACAAAAAGCUCUGGGCUAUUUGCUUCCCUUUAAGGGGGCUUUGUGUUCCCUAGAAUGGGCACACUGGGGUUUCUCCUCUGGAGAAGAUCCCCGCUGUGGGGAAGGAAACUGAAGUCCGGCACAAGCCGGGACUGCUGGGCGUCCCCUGUGUAGUUAACAACGAGUAUGGACGCACCGAGGAAGUGAGAGCGCCAACACGCGCCAAUGCGGAGAGCGUGUCUAUGGACAGGUGUUAGGAGCGAUCUGGCUCUACCCAAAGUAGUUGUUAAAAAUAGUGAAACAGACACCCAACUGUGGGUGUGGGUAGGAAGCAUAGCCCCAGGUGUAUUUAAGAAAAGAAAAGUAAAAGGAGUUCCCUGGCGGCUCAGGGGGUGAAGGAUCUGGUGUCGUCAUUGAUGUGGCUCAGGUCACUGCUGUGGUAUGGGUUCAAGGCCUGGCCCUGGAAUUUACAUAUAUAAAUGUCAUGGGAAUGGCCAACAAAAAACCAAAAAAGCCCAGAUGUGUGGAACAGUCAUUGGUCCUGGGCUGAAUGGUGCCUUCGUGUGUAUCUGCCUAUGGUCGGAAAUGAAUUAGACGCGUAAAUAAAAUACAGGACGAAAUCAGAGCAGACCAAGUGGGAACCAUCCAAGAUAAGGUUUUACGAAUUACAGAGUAAGAUGAACACGCUUAUGUAGAAUCGUGGACUGUUUAGAGCAACAAAACCAAAGUUCUCACCUCUGGGAAUAAGAAGCAUCGUUUUAUUGUGUGUUGGAGCUGAGUUCAUGUGUGUUCCCUGUAUUUAAAAAAAAAAAAAGUAAAAACGAGAAAAGGGACAAGUAGGAAACAAAGAGGAGAUUACAUCUGGAAUCAAAGCUAAUUAUGGCUUCAGUUCUGAGCCCAUUAGGAAAAAGAUCUGGGCUGGUCCUUCUGUGAGGAGAGCAGCAGAGAGACAGAUGCUUGUCAUGGUCAUUAGUCUUGUUUCUGAUUAGGGUGGUGAAUUCAUGCAUGUUGAUUGUAAUAAAUAACAUGAUUAAACGAAAAAAUAUGCCCAGUGAGCGCUGUGCCUGGGCCGGCAGUGAGUCUGUGUCUUGAAGCAAAGGUUGUGAUUUAUCCUGGGCUGCGCAGCCGUUGGCUGUUAGCAAACAUCUAGGUUGAUUCAUCCUUUUUAACAUCUGCCUUGUGUCCCACAGAACGGAGGCCCCAGAGUGGGUCCCCUGACAUGCCGCUGGUGAAGACCGUGGCCGUGACCUCUGUGGGAAACGAGCCAUGGACCAACCAACGUUAUUACAGAAUAUUGAGUCGAUCUCCUUGUGCUAUACAGAAAGAUUCAAAAAGGACCAAGAAUGGCGAUGGGGAGUGUGGAGUUGCAUGAAGACUAUUGGCUGAUCCUUGUGCCACCAGCGAGGUCCCCUGUAGAAAGAUUCUAUUAGGUCUGAGAGAAAUGAACAAAAAUCACAGAUUCAACAUACCCAAUCUGAUUGAUUCAGUGAUGAAGCUGUCAGCUGUCAGUAUCCGUGGAUACACAGCCAAGGGACUCACGGUAUAGGAUGAAGAUGAUUUUUAUCUCAAAUGAUUCUGAAAAAGAGGGCAGACGCUGAAGAGUAUGGCGCCUAUGAGGUGGAGGAAGAUUAAUGACUGAUCCUGUUCCACCCUCCUGAGGGCCAUAUAACAAGAUGGGACCUAGUUUCUCCCUGCUUCGAUUAAGUACAUGGAGAUAUGCCAGAUGCCGUACUGACUCCCCUCUUCCACUGUGACAGUCAGAGACACCUCGACAUCGGCAAGUGACCGCUGGGGGCAGUGUUGCCCCCACUGAGAAGCAUCAGGAAUGACCCCAGGACAGCACAUUUACUCAUUUUCUAAGGAACAAAAUCUUGGCAGUUAGCUCUGUGGCUUAAGAACAGAGAGAAAUUUAAUGCAAACACAGCAAGCUGAUCUGAUCCUUCUCUGACUGGGAAGACCCUGACUAUUCUGGGACUUAGGAGAUUAAAGGCCAAGGUGAGGAAGCAUCAGUGUUGGUGUUAUUACACCUGCUUUACCAUAAGGACAAAUCAGGCAAAAGGCAGAAGAGCAGGUGGACGCUAAUGAGUGAACAGAGAAUGGCUGAUUUAAUCAUUUAAUAAAGAAUUGCUAUCAUGAGCGAGCAGCAUAAAGUCUAAUAUAAAGUGAAGACACUGUCGCAUUUGGUCGUUAGCCUGUGAUGGAGACCUUGACCUUUGCCUCUCCGGAUAAAGAGAGAAGCGCUCGCUGGUGACGAUGGUGGCCAUGGCUUCCGUGGGUAAAUCGAGGAACAAAAAGGAUGCUGUUCUUGGGUCAGUGAUGACAGUGAGACUUGACUCGACUUCAUGAUUAACCUAGCACCACCAACUGAUGUUCUUUAAGUCAGUCUGGACCCUUUGUCCUUCUGAACGUUGCUCCACAGAAUGAAGGUCACGGCUGAUUGCAUCCGUCUGUUCUGAGGAAGAUCUUGGCUGUUACCUUUCUGGAAUGGAUGUGCAAUGAUUCAAUUAAAGACUAUAGAACUUACAGUGGGUGCUCCAGGUCAAUGUAAGCAUCUUCAAGAGUCCUGCUCUCUCUGGCCGCCUCAACGUGUCCGGAACAUGGAGACUGAUAAUCAACGCCUCAGCUGAUUUCAGCUUCUGCCACGAUCAAGACUGUCCUGCUGCCACCGUUUUGUAAAAGACCAAGACUGGACUCAGCGAGAUGACUGGAAAAUUCUCUCAUGGUCACGUUCUCCAGUUGCCUCCACGUCUGGGCGUAUAGAGACCAGAAAAGAGCACUGAACUCACCCAAGCCACCACGUUCAGGACGUCAAGGCAGCAUCUCUGUCCAGAACCAUCAAGUCCAAUGGUGGAUGCUCUCAAGCGGGUGCAGACAUUGCCCGUGGCUUCUCCUGUGUGUGAAGAGCUAGCGAGGAAGAACUGAUGCACCUGAACCGAUUAAGCAUUUGGCCAUCACAGGAGCUGCACUGGUGGUCCUGUGUGCAAAAUGGAUCCUCUAAGCUGAUUUCAACUUCUGUGAUUAAGGUUGUCACGUUGCCUCCGUGUUGAGAAAGAUACAAAGGUUUUCUGGAAGGAUUCCUUCAUUGAUAACGAUGUAAGCUGUUUUCAUGGGAAGGGAAGAACAAGUUGGCGCUAGUGAAUGAACUGGAGUGGUGUUAUCCUUCUGCCCUGGCUCUGAACUCUGUGUCAGGAGCCAAGAGACCAAUAGUGGACCUGCCUGAAGGGGUUUAGCGCCUUCCAUGAUGACAAGCUCUUUGGCGGCAUCUACACAGCAUAAGCGUGGAGACCUGGUGUGCAGCCGCCGGACCCGAAGGCAGGCUCCUUCCUGGAUGAGCAGGCGAGGAUGGCAGCGUUGUCUCUGGAUCCAGAAGGCCAGUGGUGGAAGCCGAAGGCCAGGCCAGGCUGCGUGGGGCCGAGACCCCUCCUCUGGCGGUGGUGGCAGGAGAGAUCCCAAGGAGUGGAGCCAUUCCCUGGGGAAGCCCCUGAAAGUGCAACAGUGGGUGUGACAGAGGAGCAGCAAUGGGCUGGAGACCUUCAGGGGCCAGGGACCUCCGUCGUCAAUGUUUGGGUCCCGGCCGGGAUGGACUUGGGUGAUGGAGAAGCCUGGUCCAGUGACUCUUCAGUGGGAAGACCGGGGCGCAGGGAAGAAGGUGUCACGAGACCGGCCUGGUGGAUGCAGGUUAUCUGAUGGAUGGCUCAAGGGGGCCCGGACUCUGUCCUGGCAGGGAUCUGUGUCCUUGUGAAGAAACGGUGGUCCCGUUUAGGGGACUGAGUGCAGCCCAGCCCCAGCCUGACCUUCAACCCCCAAGCCCUGAGGUUCUGCCUCCUUGGGCUCGUAGCAGAAUCACCUGGACCCCGGGGAAGGAGCAGAACCGGCUGACGCUUGAGUCCGCUGAGUGCAGAAAGGGCGAGUCAGUGGCGGUCCUCCUCGCUUUCCCUGUCUCUCUGUCACUGUCCCUGACUCUCUGUCUCGGUGGCUCUGCCUCGGUCUGUCCCUCUUGUCUCUCGCCUGGCUCUCUCUGUCGCCGUACGGGUCUCUUUCCUUUCUGGCAGCUUCGCGUCUGUGUGGUGGGGUGCACACCAGACCCCGGCGAGCCGAUUGGGCCCGUUUCCCUGGUGAGACCCCUAGACGAUUCCGGGCCGAGACCCCUCCUCUGGCGGUGGUGGCAGGAGAGAUCCCAAGUUUUGUCCUUGGGCCAGGUGUUUGGAUUUCAUUGCCUUAGUCCUAAAUGGAGUCCCAACAUGAAGGACAGCCCUUCGACUGGAGAGCCCUGCCCCUCCGGGCUCACUAGUGGAGGCCCGAGAACAUGGAUAUUCAUGAAGGUCCCUCCGUGUGGAGUGUGUACCCCUCAGAGCAAUUGCACUGGAGAUGCUUUAGCAUCUUCCGUACGGACCCGAGCUCUGGGAUUGCCUCUGAACAUACGUGUUAGGACAUGGGAGAGUCACAGGACAUGCUCCCGCUCUUUCGGCUUCUGCUGAGCUCAAGAUUGUCAGGCCGCCUCCGCGCCAGCAAAGAAGCGAAGGAGGGUGCACCGGACCUGAAUGCAGCUUUCUUCCUUGAUGAGCAGGACAGGAGCUCAAAGGGAUGUUGGCCUCCGCUGGGAUGAAGGCUCUCCUCUUGGAGUUGUUCUAGGAGAGACCAAGGGCCACACCCGCGGCAUUUGGAAGUUUCUAGGCUAGGGGUCGAAUCGGAGCCAUAGCCGCCGGCCUACACCACAGCCACAGCAACACAGGAUCCAAGCCACAUCUGCAGCCUACGCCACAGCUCAAGCCACGCUGGAUCCCUAACCCACGGCGCAAGGCCAGGAAUUGAGCUCCCUUCUUCGUGGAUACCAGUCGGGUUUGUUACCGCUGAGCCACAAUGGGAACUCCCCAGCAUAACUGUUUUAAAAAGAUAUAUUACUGUGAGAAUAAACUUACCUAAUAAGGAUAUCAUGUCUUUUCUAGGGUUUUUGUGAAUGAAUGGUUUUAAAUUAUUUUUAGUGAUUUACUGAAUUUGUCAAUAAGCCACAGAGAAAUGAGUGAAGAAAAAGAGGGACUUAUUGGUGGCAUAUGAGGCAUGUACAGUGCAUGUGUGUCUGGAACUCUGAGGUCCAGUGUGGGUGGAAUCUAGUCCAUUGUCCUGUUUGGGGUGAUUCUAGAGACACAUGUCUAGAAAAUACAAGAAACUCGUUUGUGGGUUUUUAUAUUUAUGUACUUUCUUUUGAAAUAAUUGGAUCAAUGAAAUAAAGAAUAAACAACCCAAUAAAUACAUAAAGAUGAAAACAG
This 6070-nucleotide long non-coding RNA is filed under the name Sus scrofa (pig). Its description in RNAcentral is "lncRNA (ENSSSCG00045016077.1)". The stretch from base 5837 to 5899 matches the Rfam family "Small nucleolar RNA SNORD113/SNORD114 family". The record is from RNAcentral. Lineage: Eukaryota; Metazoa; Chordata; Mammalia; Artiodactyla; Suidae.